UGUGCUCAAAUAUACCUUAAAAGUGACUUAAUUACUGAGAUAACACCCAUCAAGGAGGGUCUUACUCAAAUAACACUUAAAAGUUGUCAAAAGUCUUUUAAACCUCUCUAAAAAUUUUAUUUACAUUUGUGCCAUUUUGAAUUAAAAAACCCCCCAGAAAAAAAAAAAUUAUAAAACCAAGAGCACAACAACCCUAAAUCCAAAAAUCAUUUCUCUCAUUUUGGUUUGAACAACAACCGACGGCGGCGACCGUCUCCUCCGCCAUAACCAAUCCUCACCACCACCACCGUCGCUGUUACGCCACCGCACCAGAGCCCAACCGAAAAGCUAAAUCCAAUUCUUCUCUCACCAAACUACUCCCGUCACUACCGCAGCAACACUCACCUUCUCCUGCUCCAGUCUCCGCGACUCAUUCUCUCUCUAAUCACUGAUAUAGCUUAUACAAUGUGACCAAUCCCAUCGGAGAGGAACAUCUUUCUCGCGCCGGCAACAACAACAACAACCGCCACUGUUGAGACUCACAAUUGUGUCGGACCAGGAUCUAGCGAAAGGAGUCGAGACUUUGCUUCGGCAAUCAGACCCUAGCUCUCUCACAUCGUUAACCAGUGUUGUUCAACAGCUUGAAGCUAAGUUAGGGUUUGACCUCAGGAGAAGACGACUUUCAUCAGAAAUCAGAUCAAUAUCCUCCUCCGUGCUCACCAAAACCCUUCAGCCUCCGUCGCCUCCGCUUCAUCCGUACAACAAUCUCAUCCUCGUUGGUGAACCUGCUCUUCCCAGAACUGAGAUUGUGAGGCAAUUGUGGGCUUACAUAAGGAAGAACAACCUUCAAGACCCGAGUAACAAGCGGAAGAUCAUCUGUGAUGAUGCGUUGCGUUUGGUCUUUGAGCGCUGUUUGUCAGUUCGUAACUAACGUUAAUAUGAGCAAUGGAAGGGUGCCUCUCCCAACUAACCGGCCAAAUGGAACAGCUUGUCCCGGGACAAUGCCCUCUACAUCAACUUCAACACCACCCUCUCAGACCCAAACUGUUGUUGUAGAAAACCCCAUGUCCGUUGAUGAAAGUGGAAAGUUGGUGACCAAUGUUGUUGUUGGUGUGACCACCGAUAAAAAGUAACCAAGAAUGCGUGAGAUCUUAAAGAUCAAAUCCAAAUUCUUCUUCUAUUCCUGCGUUUGGUUUGUGCAUAUUACAUACGCGGAAAAACUGUAUGUUUAUAUAUCUCUUGACUCUUUUUUAACCUAAGAGAAAAGGCUGAUCAGAAUCUCUUGUUACUGCAUUAUUGGGGUUUAUUCAAAGUUGGAAGACACACAUAAAGGUUUUUGCUCUAAGAAUUUGGCACUCUUUUGCUCCAUGGAACUUGACCUUCUCUUCUGUUUGUAGACUUGUAAAACUCCAUUGGCCCUUCUGACAUUGUUAAUGUAUGUAUUAAUAUAAUCUGAUACACCAACCAAACAUUAAGAUUUGGGUUUGAAAUCUGUCUUUUCUGUGAAUGAGUUAUGCUACAUGGCACAAGAACUGGACUUAGCUUUGGUAGAUAAGACUUAGCUUCGGUUUUAUUCCGGAUUAAAAACUUCAAUAUAUGUGUUGACUUGGUCUCUUGAUAAACGUUUGGAAAAAAGCUAAACGCAACUCUAGUAUCUGCUGCUGCAAACGCGGCGGUAUUCGUGGCGGAGUUGGCGAAGAAUGGAAACAAGCAUGCCAAGUGGAACAAAGUCUGCGACAGGUUUGCCACUUACUCAUCGCCGCAUUCGCCGGAGUCAUUCUAAUGCUCCUCGUCUCAUCCGUCUCCAUUUCCCGCCUCUUAAUCAAUUCUAAACACUUAUCCACCACCGCCACCACAACCGCCGUCGUCUAAAACAUCGUGGCCCAAAUUCAGCAAUAUGUGUUUGUAUGCAUAUCAUAGAUGUUGUGGCUUACUUUGUGUGUUGUCUCUCAAGUCACUAUCAGAUUGUCUAAUGCACUCCCCUGUUCUAUCACUUUCACAUUUGUAUACGAGUUUUAAUU
Molecule: long non-coding RNA, 2000 nt
Organism: Arabidopsis lyrata subsp. lyrata
Lineage: Eukaryota; Viridiplantae; Streptophyta; Magnoliopsida; Brassicales; Brassicaceae
Exons: 5
Source: RefSeq, a predicted model, not a curated record